GUACCUUUCUUGGCUGAUCCCUUUCGCUGUAUGGCGUGCUCGUUUGGGUUGGGCAUCGGCUAAGGGUGCUCGGAGUGUGGAUUAACUCCAGUCUCCUAUCAGGUGGUGGUUAUCGUAGGUGAUUGAUUAUGGAAACGUUUCAA
This is a long non-coding RNA of Gossypium arboreum, 143 nucleotides long. RefSeq lists it as uncharacterized. NCBI's taxonomy places the organism in Eukaryota, Viridiplantae, Streptophyta, Magnoliopsida, Malvales, Malvaceae. The record is from RefSeq and is a predicted model, not a curated record. The transcript is spliced from 2 exons.